AAUCAACGCUGGCGGCGUGCCUAACACAUGCAAGUCGAACGCGAAAGCCCCGCAAGGGGUAAGUAGAGUGGCAAACGGGUGAGUAACACGUGGGUGACCUGCCUUCGAGUGGGGGAUAACGUCCCGAAAGGGGCGCUAAUACCGCAUGACAUCCUGCUUUUGAAAAAGCGGAGAUCAAAGCUGGGGAUCGCAAGACCUAGCGCUUGAAGAGGGGCCCGCGCCUGAUUAGCUAGUUGGUGAGGUAACGGCUCACCAAGGCGACGAUCAGUAUCCGGCCUGAGAGGGCGGACGGACACACUGGGACUGAGACACGGCCCAGACUCCUACGGGAGGCAGCAGUGGGGAAUUGUUCGCAAUGGGCGCAAGCCUGACGACGCAACGCCGCGUGGAGGACGAAGAUCUUCGGGUCGUAAACUCCUGUCGAGCGGGACGAACGCUUCGCGGAUGAAUAAUCCGCGGAAUUGACGGUACCGCUAAAGGAAGCCCCGGCUAACUCCGUG
Molecule: ribosomal RNA, 500 nt
Filed under: uncultured bacterium
Lineage: Bacteria
Description: partial 16S ribosomal RNA
Rfam family: Bacterial small subunit ribosomal RNA
Source: RNAcentral